This is a non-coding RNA of Podarcis lilfordi (Lilford's wall lizard), 96 nucleotides long. Lineage: Eukaryota; Metazoa; Chordata; Lepidosauria; Squamata; Lacertidae. The record is from the annotation of a GenBank genome assembly.
UCGGGGGAUAGCGGGAAGGCGCGCUGCGCCUCCCCGCUGUCCCCCAGCUUGUGGGGCUGGCAGCGGGGAGAAGCGCGCCUUCCCGCUGUCCCCCGA